This 465-nucleotide ribosomal RNA is filed under the name Vreelandella stevensii. RNAcentral's name for it is "partial 16S ribosomal RNA". It matches the Rfam family "Bacterial small subunit ribosomal RNA", at positions 338 to 795 of the family's 1533-position model. Lineage: Bacteria; Pseudomonadati; Pseudomonadota; Gammaproteobacteria; Oceanospirillales; Halomonadaceae. The record is from RNAcentral.
CCUACGGGUGGCUGCAGUGGGGAAUAUUGGACAAUGGGGGGAACCCUGAUCCAGCCAUGCCGCGUGUGUGAAGAAGGCCCUCGGGUUGUAAAGCACUUUCAGUGAGGAAGAACGCCUGGUGGUUAAUACCCAUCAGGAAAGACAUCACUCACAGAAGAAGCACCGGCUAACUCCGUGCCAGCAGCCGCGGUAAUACGGAGGGUGCGAGCGUUAAUCGGAAUUACUGGGCGUAAAGCGCGCGUAGGUGGUUUGAUAAGCCGGUUGUGAAAGCCCCGGGCUCAACCUGGGAACGGCAUCCGGAACUGUCAAGCUAGAGUGCAGGAGAGGAAGGUAGAAUUCCCGGUGUAGCGGUGAAAUGCGUAGAGAUCGGGAGGAAUACCAGUGGCGAAGGCGGCCUUCUGGACUGACACUGACACUGAGGUGCGAAAGCGUGGGUAGCAAACAGGAUUAGAUACCCUAGUAGUC